This 936-nucleotide ribosomal RNA is filed under the name uncultured bacterium. Its description in RNAcentral is "bacterial SSU rRNA". It matches the Rfam family "Bacterial small subunit ribosomal RNA", at positions 54 to 989 of the family's 1533-position model. The record is from RNAcentral.
CAUGCAAGUCGAACGAGAAUCUACUGAAAGAGUCUUCGGACAAUGGAAGUAGAGGAAAGUGGCGGACGGGUGAGUAACGCGUGAGGAACCUGCCUUGAAGAGGGGGACAACAGUUGGAAACGACUGCUAAUACCGCAUGAAGCAUAGGGGUCGCAUGAUCUUUAUGCCAAAGAUUUAUCGCUUCAAGAUGGCCUCGCGUCUGAUUAGCUGGUUGGCGGGGUAACGGCCCACCAAGGCGACGAUCAGUAGCCGGACUGAGAGGUUGAACGGCCACAUUGGGACUGAGAUACGGCCCAGACUCCUACGGGAGGCAGCAGUGGGGAAUAUUGGGCAAUGGGCGCAAGCCUGACCCAGCAACGCCGCGUGAAGGAAGAAGGCUUUCGGGUUGUAAACUUCUUUUAAGAGGGAAGAGCAGAAGACGGUACCUCUAGAAUAAGCCACGGCUAACUACGUGCCAGCAGCCGCGGUAAUACGUAGGUGGCAAGCGUUGUCCGGAUUUACUGGGUGUAAAGGGCGUGCAGCCGGGUCUGCAAGUCAGAUGUGAAAUCCAUGGGCUCAACCCAUGGACUGCAUUUGAAACUGUAGAUCUUGAGUGUCGGAGGGGCAAUCGGAAUUCCUAGUGUAGCGGUGAAAUGCGUAGAUAUUAGGAGGAACACCAGUGGCGAAGGCGGAUUGCUGGACGAUAACUGACGGUGAGGCGCGAAAGUGUGGGGAGCAAACAGGAUUAGAUACCCUGGUAGUCCACACUGUAAACGAUGAAUACUAGGUGUGCGGGGACUGACCCCCUGCGUGCCGCAGUAAACACAAUAAGUAUUCCACCUGGGGAGUACGAUCGCAAGGUUGAAACUCAAAGGAAUUGACGGGGGCCCGCACAAGCGGUGGAUUAUGUGGUUUAAUUCGAAGCAACGCGAAGAACCUUACCAGGGUUUGACAUCC